UGUGCAGAGGGAAAUAACAGGUUGUGCGUCUCUGUCAGAGACUACUACUGUUAUAUGCUGCAGACACGGCCUGCAAUCUUCAAUCCCAUACUCUGUGGAGCACGACUGCUGCAACAAUGGGCUGUUGACAUGUACGUUAAGAUUGAGAGCUGUCGAUUGAGGUGGUACAGGAAGAACCAGACGCAGAUUCGUGCCGACUUGUAUAAAGGAGUGGUUGAUGCCAUCACUUCAGGGGAGACACGGGCAAGCGCUGUUGGGGUUAGAAUAGUG
Molecule: ribosomal RNA, 270 nt
Filed under: Triticum aestivum (bread wheat)
Lineage: Eukaryota; Viridiplantae; Streptophyta; Magnoliopsida; Poales; Poaceae
Description: partial small subunit ribosomal RNA
Source: RNAcentral